GGGGCUGUGGCGAAACUGGUAGACGCGAUGGAAUGUCGCUCCGUUGGGGAAACCCUUGCGAGUUAGAAUCUCGCCAGCCCUACCA
Molecule: transfer RNA, 85 nt
Filed under: Actinomycetes bacterium
Lineage: Bacteria; Bacillati; Actinomycetota; Actinomycetes
Also listed under: 1 other name
Description: tRNA-Asp
Rfam family: tRNA
About the family: Transfer RNA (tRNA) molecules are approximately 80 nucleotides in length. Their secondary structure includes four short double-helical elements and three loops (D, anti-codon, and T loops). Further hydrogen bonds mediate the characteristic L-shaped molecular structure. tRNAs have two regions of fundamental functional importance: the anti-codon, which is responsible for specific mRNA codon recognition, and the 3' end, to which the tRNAs corresponding amino acid is attached (by aminoacyl-tRNA synthetases). tRNAs cope with the degeneracy of the genetic code in two manners: having more than one tRNA (with a specific anti-codon) for a particular amino acid; and 'wobble' base-pairing, i.e. permitting non-standard base-pairing at the 3rd anti-codon position.
Source: RNAcentral